AGAGUUUGAUCCUGGCUCAGAUUGAACGCUGGCGGAAUGCUUUACACAUGCAAGUCGAACGGCAGCACGGGAGCUUGCUCCUGGUGGCGAGUGGCGAACGGGUGAGUAAUGCGUCGGAACGUACCGAGUAAUGGGGGAUAACGCAGCGAAAGUUGUGCUAAUACCGCAUACGCCCUGAGGGGGAAAGUGGGGGAUCGCAAGACCUCACGUUAUUCGAGCGGCCGACGUCUGAUUAGCUAGUUGGUGGGGUAAAGGCCUACCAAGGCGACGAUCAGUAGCGGGUCUGAGAGGAUGAUCCGCCACACUGGGACUGAGACACGGCCCAGACUCCUACGGGAGGCAGCAGUGGGGAAUUUUGGACAAUGGGGGCAACCCUGAUCCAGCCAUUCCGCGUGAGUGAAGAAGGCCUUCGGGUUGUAAAGCUCUUUCAGCAGGAACGAAACGGUGCGCUCUAACAUAGCGUGCUAAUGACGGUACCUGCAGAAGAAGCACCGGCUAACUACGUGCCAGCAGCCGCGGUAAUACGUAGGGUGCGAGCGUUAAUCGGAAUUACUGGGCGUAAAGCGUGCGCAGGCGGAUUGUUAAGCAAGACGUGAAAUCCCCGGGCUUAACCUGGGAAUGGCGUUUUGAACUGGCAGUCUAGAGUGUGUCAGAGGGGGGUGGAAUUCCACGUGUAGCAGUGAAAUGCGUAGAGAUGUGGAGGAACACCAAUGGCGAAGGCAGCCCCCCUGGGAUAACACUGACGCUCAUGUACGAAAGCGUGGGUAGCAAACAGGAUUAGAUACCCUGGUAGUCCACGC
RNAcentral lists this ribosomal RNA (800 nucleotides) under uncultured bacterium. RNAcentral describes it as "bacterial SSU rRNA". It matches the Rfam family "Bacterial small subunit ribosomal RNA", at positions 8 to 800 of the family's 1533-position model. The record is from RNAcentral.